RNAcentral lists this transfer RNA (74 nucleotides) under Clostridiales bacterium. Its description in RNAcentral is "tRNA-Gly". It matches the Rfam family "tRNA". From Rfam's summary of the family: Transfer RNA (tRNA) molecules are approximately 80 nucleotides in length. Their secondary structure includes four short double-helical elements and three loops (D, anti-codon, and T loops). The record is from RNAcentral. Lineage: Bacteria; Bacillati; Bacillota; Clostridia; Eubacteriales.
GCAGGCGUAGUUUAGUGGCAAAACUUGAGUUUCCCAAACUCACGUCGGGAGUUCGAUUCUCCUCGCCUGCUCCA